UGGUGGAGUGAUUUGUCUGGUUAAUUCCGUUAACGAACGAGACCUCGACCUGCUAAAUAGUUUUGCGAAUUCUUCGGGAUUCGAAAAACUUCUUAGAGGGACUAUCGGUGUGUAACCGAUGGAAGUUCGAGGCAAUAACA
This 140-nucleotide ribosomal RNA is filed under the name uncultured eukaryote. RNAcentral describes it as "partial 18S ribosomal RNA". It matches the Rfam family "Eukaryotic small subunit ribosomal RNA", at positions 1299 to 1458 of the family's 1831-position model. The record is from RNAcentral.